GACGAACGCUGGCGGCGUGCUUAACACAUGCAAGUCGAGCGGUAAGGCCCUUCGGGUACGACGAGCGGCGAACGGUCGAGUAACACGUAGACAACCUGCCUCCCAGUGGGGGAGUACCCGCUCGAAAGGGCGGCUAAUACCGCAUGUGGUCCGGAGCGGCAUCGCUCCGGCACUAAAGGUUUACUGCUGGGAGAUGGGUCUGCGCCCUAUCAGCUAGUUGGCGGGGU
RNAcentral lists this ribosomal RNA (227 nucleotides) under uncultured bacterium. RNAcentral's name for it is "partial 16S ribosomal RNA". It matches the Rfam family "Bacterial small subunit ribosomal RNA", at positions 28 to 258 of the family's 1533-position model. The record is from RNAcentral.